Molecule: ribosomal RNA, 451 nt
Filed under: uncultured bacterium
Lineage: Bacteria
Description: partial 16S ribosomal RNA
Rfam family: Bacterial small subunit ribosomal RNA
Source: RNAcentral
GUGGGGAAUAUUGGACAAUGGGGGGAACCCUGAUCCAGCCAUGCCGCGUGUGUGAAGAAGGCCUUUUGGUUGUAAAGCACUUUAAGCGAGGAGGAGGUUACCGAGAUUAAUACUCUUGGAUAGUGGACGUUACUCGCAGAAUAAGCACCGGCUAACUCUGUGCCAGCAGCCGCGGUAAUACAGAGGGUGCAAGCGUUAAUCGGAUUUACUGGGCGUAAAGCGCGCGUAGGUGGUCAAUUAAGUCAAAUGUGAAAUCCCCGAGCUUAACUUGGGAAUUGCAUUCGAUACUGGUUGGCUAGAGUAUGGGAGAGGAUGGUAGAAUUCCAGGUGUAGCGGUGAAAUGCGUAGAGAUCUGGAGGAAUACCGAUGGCGAAGGCAGCCAUCUGGCCUAAUACUGACACUGAGGUGCGAAAGCAUGGGGAGCAAACAGGAUUAGAUACCCGGGUAGUCC